GCCGGAUUUCACACAGGUGUUGCAUGGCUGUCGUCAGCUCGUGUCGUGAGAUGUUGGGUUAAGUCCCGCAACGAGCGCAACCCUCAUCCUUAGUUACCAUCAGGUAAUGCUGGGGACUUUAAGGAAACUGCCAGUGAUAAACUGGAGGAAGGUGGGGAUGAUGUCAAGUCAUCAUGGCCCUUAUGGAGUGGGCUACACACGUGCUACAAUGGUGGCUACAAUGGGCUGCAAAGUCGCGAGGCUAAGCUAAUCCCUUAAAAGCCAUCUCAGUUCGGAUUGUACUCUGCAACUCGAGUGCAUGAAGUUGGAAUCGCUAGUAAUCGUGGAUCAGCACGCCACGGUGAAUACGUUCUCGGGUCUUGUACACACUGCC
RNAcentral lists this ribosomal RNA (373 nucleotides) under Wolbachia endosymbiont of Culex vishnui. Its description in RNAcentral is "bacterial SSU rRNA". It matches the Rfam family "Bacterial small subunit ribosomal RNA", at positions 1022 to 1394 of the family's 1533-position model. Lineage: Bacteria; Pseudomonadati; Pseudomonadota; Alphaproteobacteria; Rickettsiales; Anaplasmataceae. RNAcentral also lists the same sequence under 3 other names. The record is from RNAcentral.